This 211-nucleotide long non-coding RNA is filed under the name Olea europaea (common olive). RNAcentral describes it as "long non-coding RNA (OEUR_LNC007286)". Lineage: Eukaryota; Viridiplantae; Streptophyta; Magnoliopsida; Lamiales; Oleaceae. The record is from RNAcentral.
AGGAGGCUGUGGAUUAUACCCAGGAGUGGGAGGCUUCUAGAGUGCCCUCGAACAUGACGGGGAAGAGGUUGGGGGAACUUAGGGAAAGGUACAGUGUGCCUCAUAACAUAGAGAUGUUAGUCCCCGAACCGAACGAGCGGGCCUGCUAUCCGAGGCCCGGAUGCGUGGCCGUGAGUGAAUACCUGUUCAAAGCAGGUAUGCGUCUUCCUUU